AUUGAACGCUGGCGGUAGGCCUAACACAUGCAAGUCGAACGGCAGCACGGUAAUAGCUUGCUCUUACGGGUGGCGAGUGGCGGACGGUUGAUGAAUACAUCGGAAUCUACUUUUUCUUGGGGGAUAACGUAGGGAAACUUACGCUAAUACCGCAUACGACCUACGGGUGAAAGCAUGGGAUCUUCGGACCUUGCGCGAUUGAAUGAGCCGAUGUCGGAUUAGCUAGUUGGCGGGGUAAAGGCCCACCAAGGCGACGAUCCGUAGCUGGUCUGAGAGGAUGAUCAGCCACACUGGAACUGAGACACGGUCCAGACUCCUACGGGAGGCAGCAGUGGGGAAUAUUGGACAAUGGGCGAAAGCCUGAUCCAGCCAUACCGCGUGGGUGAAGAAGGCCUUCGGAUUGUAAAGCCCUUUUGUUGGGAAAGAAAAGCAGCAGGUUAAUACCCCGCUGUUCUGACGGUACCCAAAGAAUAAGCACCGGCUAACUUCGUG
RNAcentral lists this ribosomal RNA (492 nucleotides) under uncultured bacterium. RNAcentral describes it as "partial 16S ribosomal RNA". It matches the Rfam family "Bacterial small subunit ribosomal RNA", at positions 30 to 507 of the family's 1533-position model. The record is from RNAcentral.